CAGCAGUGUGUCUCCUGAAAAGAGAGCUGAUUAGAGAGGCAGUUUUGAAUUUAGGAGUGGCAAGAUGGCAGCGGCAAACCCUGGCGGUUCUCCGGGUUCGUGGCAACCACGGAUGGGAAAAUGUGGAGGUUGCACGGCUGAUGUUUACUGUUCAUGGCACAGGAAGAGGCAGUUUUAUUUCAGGAAUGAGUGAGCACAAUCAAAGAAUAGAGCGACUGUGGAGAGACCUCUGGGUGGCCAUUACAUGCUUUACUACGAUGUUCUUCACAACCUUGAGGAAGAAGACCUUCUUGACAUUUCAAAUGCUGCACACCUCUUUUGCUGCCAUUACGUCUUUCUUCCUCGACUGGAGGAUGAUUUUAAUACAUUUUGCAGUGGAUGGGACAACCAUCCACUGCGAACAAAAAACAACAUGAGUCCCAACCAGCUGUGGGAGUUGGGUCACAGAUAUCACCCUGUUCCUGUUCCAGAAAACACACAGCUUAUCACACAUUUGAUUUCCAUGUGUGACGA
Long non-coding RNA from Oreochromis aureus, 513 nucleotides. RefSeq lists it as uncharacterized. The transcript is spliced from 5 exons. The record is from RefSeq and is a predicted model, not a curated record. NCBI's taxonomy places the organism in Eukaryota, Metazoa, Chordata, Actinopteri, Cichliformes, Cichlidae.